UAAAUCAGUAGAGGCGCGCUGCCUAUCAGUAACCGAGCAGAGGGUGAUACCGAUGAAGCCGGGGAAAGGAGUCAGCGCCGAAGUGACUGAGUCAUCAAACUCAGCCGCUGGGGCUGCGUCGAACAGGCGCAGCACUGCCAUAGUUUUUCCUAUGGAGCGCUACCUAAGGG
RNAcentral lists this non-coding RNA (170 nucleotides) under Photobacterium ganghwense. RNAcentral's name for it is "Lysine sequence". It matches the Rfam family "Lysine riboswitch aptamer". From Rfam's summary of the family: Riboswitches are metabolite binding domains within certain messenger RNAs that serve as precision sensors for their corresponding targets. Allosteric rearrangement of mRNA structure is mediated by ligand binding, and this results in modulation of gene expression. The record is from Rfam by way of RNAcentral. Lineage: Bacteria; Pseudomonadati; Pseudomonadota; Gammaproteobacteria; Vibrionales; Vibrionaceae.